RNAcentral lists this small RNA (135 nucleotides) under Arabidopsis thaliana (thale cress). Its description in RNAcentral is "ATSL248090". The record is from RNAcentral. Lineage: Eukaryota; Viridiplantae; Streptophyta; Magnoliopsida; Brassicales; Brassicaceae.
GUUUUUCUUCACUGAAAUAAUAUAAACAAUUCAUAAAGGAGGAGAGAAUAACAUAAUUAAGGAAACGUUUCUGUGUAAAGAAAUUUUGUAAGUUUGCAUAGGUGGCUGUUUAUAAUUGGACAAUUGAAAAAAAGA